Molecule: regulatory RNA element, 45 nt
Organism: Streptomyces sp. MP131-18
Lineage: Bacteria; Bacillati; Actinomycetota; Actinomycetes; Kitasatosporales; Streptomycetaceae
Rfam family: L31-Actinobacteria ribosomal protein leader
Source: Rfam
UCGGCCCCGGUUCACGGCGCGCAGCCCGCGCGUCGACCCGGCGCC